GCACCACCUCAUCCCCUUGGGACAGGGAUCAUCGAUCCUCAUCCAAUCCAAUGAGGCUAUGCUAUGGGUCGCCUUGUUUCACGCAACCACCUUCGGAGACUACAACAUUGCUUUAUUAAAUUUCACCUAUUUCUUAGAGGAGAUAUUCCCAUUAUUCUUGCGAGCAAGCAGCGCUCUCUCUCUCUCUCUCUCUCUCUCUGUGUCCUUGCUGCUGCUGCUGCUGCUUCCAAUCAAGUGAGUGACGAUGCCGACCAUCGCUUUGACCUCCAACCUCGAUUGGAACCCGCUUGAUCGACUACGGGCUUUUCAGUUGGUACUAGUCUCUACCUGUCGAUCGAUCAGCCCGACUAAUACUACACUCCAACGAAAAUGUCAACCAAAACGGUUGAGCUCGAAGUUCCGACUUCACUGCCAACUCAAGACAGAGGAAGUGCAGAUAAGGAGGUGUUCACCUUUUCUGGAGAGUCUAUUUCUAUCAAGUGAUGGUGUUGUGGCCUCUCGUGAAUGGAAAACAGUUCCAGAUAUUUGGAGGUCUUCAGCUGAAAAAUUUGGUGAUCGGGUAGCAUUGGUGGAUCCAUAUCACGACCCUCCUUCAACUAUGACUUAUAAACAGCUCGAGCAGGAUAUAUUGGACUUCUCGGAAGGUCUUAGAGUUAUAGGAGUAAAGCCAGCCGAAAAGCUAGCUUUUUUUGCUGAUAACUCUUGCCGGUGGCUUGUUGCUGAUCAAGGUAUAAUGGCCACUGGAGCAAUUAAUGUGGUGAGGGGGUCAAGGUCAUCUGUUGAAGAGCUUUUGCAGAUAUAUAAUCAUUCUGAGAGUGUUGCACUUGUUGUGGAUAAUCCCGAAUUCUUCAACCGGAUUGCCGAAACUCUCUGUUCUCAGGCUGCUGUGAGAUUUGUUAUAUUAGUUUGGGGUGAUAAAUCAUGUUGUACUAGUGAAGUGCUCGAGGGAUUGCCUGUCUACAAUUACAAGGAUAUCAUAGCCUUGGGACAUGAAAGUCGUAUGUGUUUGCUUGAUUCUCAUGAUGCUCGGCAGCACUAUAUUUAUGAAGCCAUCAGCUCUGAUGAUGUCGCGACAAUAAUGUACACUAGUGGAACUACUGGCAACCCAAAAGGUGUUAUGCUCACGCAUAAGAAUCUGUUGCACCAGAUAAAUAAUUUAUGGGACGUUGUACCAGCAGAACCUGGAGAUAGAUUCCUGAGCAUGCUUCCAACUUGGCACGCAUAUGAACGAGCAAGCGAAUAUUUUAUCUUCACAUAUGGAAUAGAGCAAGUAUACACAACGGUGAAAUACUUGAAGGAAGAUUUGCUGCGCUACCAACCUAAUUACCUGGUUUCUGUUCCUUUGGUACUUGAAACACUUUACAAGGGUAUCCAAAAGCAGAUUUCUACGAGUUCCACCGCUCGCAAGCUUGUUGCACUUUUCUUUAUAAAAAUUAGUUUGACAUAUAUGGACAUCAAGCGAAUUUAUGAGGGAAAAUGUCUAACAAAGUGCCAGAAGCAAUGUUCGUUCCUAGUAGCAGCAUUUGACUGGUUAUGGGCGAGAACAAUUUCUCUUAUACUAUGGCCAUUACAUAUGUUGGCCAAGAAACUUGUUUAUAAUAAAAUUCAAACUGCUAUUGGAAUAUCAAAGGCUGGCAUAAGCGGAGGUGGUAGUUUGCCUUCCCAUGUUGACAGGUUCUUUGAGGCAAUAGACAUGAAAGUGCAGAAUGGUUAUGGGUUGACUGAGUCAUCUCCCGUCGCAGCUUGCCGAAUUCCUUCCUGUAAUGUUCUUGGCUCAAUCGGUCAUCCAAUUCGACAUACAGAAAUUAGAGUUGUAGAUUUUGAAACAGGUGAUGUUCUUCCUCCAGGUUCGAAGGGUAUUGUAGAAAUUAAGGGGCCACAAGUAAUGAAGGGUUACUACAAGAAUGAAUCGGCCACCAAAAAUGCCUUAAAUGAGAGCGGUUGGCUAUACACUGGUGAUAUUGGUUGGAUUGCACCUUCCCAUUCACUGGGGCGUAGUCGCCGGUGCAGUGGCAUGGUUGUUCUUGAAGGACGUGCUAAGGAUACUAUAGUUCUUUCAACAGGUGAAAAUGUUGAGCCAUCAGAGCUUGAGGAAGCUGCCAUGAGAAGUAGUUUAAUUCAGCAGAUUGUAGUUAUUGGGCAGGAUCAACGUCGUCUUGGAGCUAUAAUUGUUCCAAACAAGGAUGAGAUUUUAGCUACCGGAAAGAUGUCAAUAAUAGGUGCAGAUACCUCUGAACUUAGCAAAGAAAAUAUGACUGCUCUAUUACUUGAAGAGCUAAGGAAAUGGACUUCUCAAUGCUCAUUUCAUAUUGGUCCAAUCCUUGUCAUUGAUGAACCUUUUACAAUUGAUAAUGGUUUAGUGACUCCGACUAUGAAAAUUCGGAGGGACAAAGUUGUUGCUCGAUACAAAUUGCAAAUAGAGAAUCUAUACAAAUGAUUCCCUUGUUAGAAGCCAUCUUUGAUGUGGUUGUACGCAGGAAAAUUACAACGAUUCGUUGAAAGCUUGCCUUUCAUCUGAAAUUAUGAACAUGUUAUGUAUCCGUGUACAUAAUAAUUAUCUGGAGCUCCUAAACAUGGGUCCCUUCCAAGAUGGAAAAGCUUGUGAGUGGGAAAAAAAACACUAAUCUUGACCUUCAGCUAAUAUCGAAGGAUUUAUUUUCAAGGCAUUUUGGCUACAAGUCAUGCGAAGGGCUGUUGUAUAUAAAUUUGUGAUCGAGAGAUCAAGCUGAUUUU
Molecule: RNA transcript, 2733 nt
Organism: Rhododendron vialii
Lineage: Eukaryota; Viridiplantae; Streptophyta; Magnoliopsida; Ericales; Ericaceae
Gene name: probable acyl-activating enzyme 16, chloroplastic
Exons: 19
Source: RefSeq, a predicted model, not a curated record